GGGAAAAAUAAGUAGCAUAGGCUUCCUCGGGCCACUAUUGCGAGUUACUGAGCCUUACCUGACCGAUCUUCAUCCAAGACGUUAAAGAUCAUCUGCAGAUCUCUUCUGUAUUUGCACAGCGUUUCCACCAAAGUUGGCUGAACCUGGUUUUGAAAUCAUAUACAGGAAACCAUUUAGACCUUGGGUUCAGGUUAGCUUAACUGGCAGAACAUGUACUAUCCAAAUCUAUUUUACCAGUUUAACUUGCCAAAUGUUGGGAAAAAAAUCGUUACGCAUGAGUUCGAAGGAAUGGUGCUUUAUGUCUUGCCCCAAAUCAGCCAAAAGCUGUCACGUGUGGUGGGGUGGGGGGUGGUGAAGGAGCCCUUCACGCCUCCUCCCUUCAGUAAUUAUUUGUGGAAAAACUGAUAAUGUGGGGAAAGCGCUGUACGUCAUACACUCGUGAAACUUUCAUUAUAGGUAUAUGAAUGGGUCCUGCUGCAUAGAAAAAAUGGUGUCGAGAGCUAAGUACCAAAGCACUGUGCAGUCAUGCAUUAACAACUGGACUCUGUAGAGGAGAGCUCAUCUAUCAUGAGACAACUAAAAGCUCAUCUCCAACUGUGACUUCAUCGUACAGGUGCCAGAAGUGGCUCUGAGCACAUCUGAAAAAGCACAUCUCAAAAGAGUGCUCUCACGUGACUAUGAAAGGAAGCUGGGUAACUAGUUCAGAUGCAGAUCUCUACUGGAUUGGCCAAGCCACUGCCUUGUGCCUCAAGCUGCACCAAAAGCUGUUUCUCCGAGAUGUGAAAGGAUGUGUUUCCCUUCUUACCUGAUGCAUAGGACGAGCUGUGUCCAUAUAGCAAAAACAUGACAUGUAGUCAACUUUUCCAUCUGGAUCUGUCUUCACUAACCGAGACCUCAGCAUCCUCCAGGGCAGUUUGAGUUGUAGGACUGACUCCAUCACUGCUGCCCAGUCACUGAUAGAAAUCCUGCCUGCCAGGAGCGGUCGGUUCAUGGUUACAAGCAGUGUGUGACACAGCACAGAUGAGACCCAGCAACCCCAGCAUGCCUUCUGACAUUGUUUUAAAACACUCACAAAACAUAAAUGUUUUUUCCUAAGCAUGGUAAUAAAAACAGUGAGGUCAGACUGGGCAUUUAUAGAGGUCCCUUCCCACUGC
RNAcentral lists this long non-coding RNA (1154 nucleotides) under Gallus gallus (chicken). RNAcentral describes it as "long non-coding RNA NONGGAT001039". The record is from RNAcentral. Lineage: Eukaryota; Metazoa; Chordata; Aves; Galliformes; Phasianidae.